Molecule: long non-coding RNA, 675 nt
Filed under: Phasianus colchicus (ring-necked pheasant)
Lineage: Eukaryota; Metazoa; Chordata; Aves; Galliformes; Phasianidae
Description: lncRNA (ENSPCLG00000005525.1)
Source: RNAcentral
UGAAGUAGUUUUCAUAACCCCUCCCCCACCCUGUUUUUUCAUAACCACUCGGAUUUCCAGCUGGAUAGUCUUUGAGGAUAUAGGUGAAUGCUGGGAGGUGGUCCGGGCAACUCUGUGGAACAUUCUCCAAUGGACUAGUAGGAUGAGAAGAUCCAAGAAUAGUUUGGGGAACAAGGAGAAACAUUACCUCUCAUGACGGUAAACCUACCGAAAAGGAGAACUUAUGAAAAUAUGUGUGUAUGGGAACUGUUGAGACACGGCCUGAACCACUGAUUGAUCACCUGAGGAAAGGACUGAGUCAGCUGUGGGAGCACAGGUGAAGGCAAUUCACCUGCAUGAUCGGAAGGAGUGGAGCCUGGCUGCACCUCUUCUAGACCCCAUUUAAGGGCUGACUGCCACUGGGGAAGGUUCUCUUUGUGGAGAUUCCUCUUCUGUGGAGUCCUUUCUGCAAACCUAGAUCUUCAGGUACAGGUGAGCAUUCCUUUCCUGUUCAUUUUUUUGUCCCAUUUUUACCAUGAUGAUCUUUCUUGAUGUAACACCAACUGUAACAAUGUGUGACAGAAGAAUUUGUUGAUAUAGGAAGUUUUGCCUCCCAGAUUUAGACAAAUUGAUUGCAAAUUGUCAUAUAUUUGAUUUCCGCAUAAAAUUCUCCAGACCUAUUUUAUCUUAUCAUAU